RNAcentral lists this ribosomal RNA (391 nucleotides) under uncultured bacterium. Its description in RNAcentral is "bacterial SSU rRNA". It matches the Rfam family "Bacterial small subunit ribosomal RNA", at positions 28 to 419 of the family's 1533-position model. The record is from RNAcentral.
GACGAACGCUGGCGGCGUGCUUAACACAUGCAAGUCGAGCGGUAAGGCCCUUUCGGGGGUACACGAGCGGCGAACGGGUGAGUAACACAUGGGUGACCUGCCCUCAGCUCUGGGAUAAGCCUGGGAAACCGGGUCUAAUACUGGAUAUGACUCCAUGACGCAUGUUGUGGGGUGGAAAGCCUUGUGCGGCUGAGGAUGGGCCCGCGGCCUAUCAGCUUGUUGGUGGGGUGAUGGCCUACCAAGGCGACGACGGGUAGCCGGCCUGAGAGGGCGACCGGCCACACUGGAACUGAGACACGGCCCAGACUCCUACGGGAGGCAGCAGUGGGGAAUCUUGCGCAAUGGGCGAAAAGCCUGACGCAGCGACGCCGCGUGAGGGAUGACGGCCUCG